RNAcentral lists this ribosomal RNA (446 nucleotides) under uncultured bacterium. RNAcentral's name for it is "partial 16S ribosomal RNA". It matches the Rfam family "Bacterial small subunit ribosomal RNA", at positions 338 to 795 of the family's 1533-position model. The record is from RNAcentral.
CCUACGGGAGGCUGCAGUCGAGAAUCAUUCACAAUGGGGGAAACCCUGAUGGUGCGACGCCGCGUGGGGGAAUGAAGGUCUUCGGAUUGUAAACCUCUGUUAUGUGGGAGCAAAUUAUAAAGAUAGUACCCCAAGAGGUAGAGACGGCUAAAUCUGGGCCCGUAGCUGCGGUAAUACAGAGGUCUUAAGCGUUGUGCGGAAUGACUGGGCGUAAAGCGUGCGGAGGCUGUUUCGUAAGUCGUGUGUGAAAGGCGCGGGCUCAACCCGCGGACGGCACAUGAUACUGGGAGACUAGAGUAAUGGAGGGGGAAGCGGAAUUCGCGGUGUAGCGGUGAAAUGCAUAGAUAUCGCGCAGAACUCCGAUUGCGAAGGCAGCAUGCCGGCUCCACACUGACGCGGAGGCACGAAAGCGUGGGUAUCGAACAGGAUUAGAUACCCGAGUAGUC